AUUGAACGCUGGCGGCAGGCCUGACACAUGCAAGUCGAGCGGAUGAAGGGAGCUUGCUCCUGGAUUCAGCGGCGGACGGGUGAGUAAUGCCUAGGAAUCUGCCUGGUAGUGGGGGAUAACGUCCGGAAACGGGCGCUAAUACCGCAUACGUCCUGAGGGAGAAAGUGGGGGAUCUUCGGACCUCACGCUAUCAGAUGAGCCUAGGUCGGAUUAGCUAGUUGGUGGGGUAAAGGCCUACCAAGGCGACGAUCCGUAACUGGUCUGAGAGGAUGAUCAGUCACACUGGAACUGAGACACGGUCCAGACUCCUACGGGAGGCAGCAGUGGGGAAUAUUGGACGAUGGGCGAAAGCCUGAUCCAGCCAUGCCGCGUGUGUGAAGAAGGUCUUCGGAUUGUAAAGCACUUUAAGUUGGGAGGAAGGGCAGUAAGUUAAUACCUUGCUGUUUUGACGUUACCAACAGAAUAAGCACCGGCUAACUUCGUG
RNAcentral lists this ribosomal RNA (484 nucleotides) under uncultured bacterium. Its description in RNAcentral is "partial 16S ribosomal RNA". It matches the Rfam family "Bacterial small subunit ribosomal RNA", at positions 30 to 507 of the family's 1533-position model. The record is from RNAcentral.